GUGCUCGCUUCAGCAGCACAUAUACUAAAAUUGGAAUGAUACAGAGAAGAUUAGCAUGGUCCCUGCACAAGGAUGACAUGCAAAUUCAUGAAGCGUUCCAUAUAUUU
Molecule: small nuclear RNA, 107 nt
Filed under: Phocoena sinus (vaquita)
Lineage: Eukaryota; Metazoa; Chordata; Mammalia; Artiodactyla; Phocoenidae
Source: RNAcentral